Non-coding RNA from Myotis davidii, 74 nucleotides. NCBI's taxonomy places the organism in Eukaryota, Metazoa, Chordata, Mammalia, Chiroptera, Vespertilionidae. The record is from Rfam.
GGUGGUUCUCAGGUGCACACCCCAGAAUCGAGCUCCCUCCUCUCUGGUUCCAGGUAGGUCACCUGAGAACCACA